CCUACGGGGUGCAGCAGUCGAGAAUCAUUCACAAUGGGGGAAACCCUGAUGGUGCGACGCCGCGUGGGGGAAUGAAGGUCUUCGGAUUGUAAACCCCUGUCAUGUGGGAGCAAAUUUAAAAGAUAGUACCACAAGAGGAAGAGACGGCUAACUCUGUGCCAGCAGCCGCGGUAAUACAGAGGUCUCAAGCGUUGUUCGGAAUCACUGGGCGUAAAGCGUGCGUAGGCUGUUUCGUAAGUCGUGUGUGAAAGGCGCGGACUCAACCCGCGGACGGCACAUGAUACUGCGAGACUAGAGUAAUGGAGGGGGAACCGGAAUUCUCGGUGUAGCAGUGAAAUGCGUAGAUAUCGAGAGGAACACUCGUGGCGAAGGCGGGUUCCUGGACAUUAACUGACGCUGAGGCACGAAGGCCAGGGGAGCGAAAGGGAUUAGAUACCCGGGUAGUC
This 446-nucleotide ribosomal RNA is filed under the name uncultured bacterium. Its description in RNAcentral is "partial 16S ribosomal RNA". It matches the Rfam family "Bacterial small subunit ribosomal RNA", at positions 338 to 795 of the family's 1533-position model. The record is from RNAcentral.